AUACGAAAGGUGCAAGCGUUGUUCGGAUUUACUGGGCGUAAAGAGAGUGUAGGUGGUUUAUUAAGUCGGAUGUGAAAUCCCGGGGCUCAACCUCGGAACUGCAUUCGGUACUGAUAGGCUAGAGUUUGGGAGGGGUAAGCGGAAUUCCGUGUGUAGCAGUGAAAUGCGUAGAUAUACGGAGGAACACCUGAGGCGAAGGCGGCUUACUGGACCAAUACUGACACUGAGACUCGAAAGCGUGGGUAGCAAACAGGAUUAGAAACCCCUGUAGUCC
Molecule: ribosomal RNA, 274 nt
Filed under: uncultured bacterium
Lineage: Bacteria
Description: partial 16S ribosomal RNA
Rfam family: Bacterial small subunit ribosomal RNA
Source: RNAcentral